GUUGUCGUCACGCGAUAGAAACGCGAGCGACCUCGGGGUGUCACUCUGGCCAAGUCGCUCUGGGCUUCGGGAGCGACUUAGAGUGGUCGCUCUGAUAGGUCGCUCCGGGUCAGUUUUCGGCUUCCACCGAGAUGAAAUGGCGAGUGACUUCUCCGCAUCGCUCUGGUAAGGUCGCUCUGAUAAGGCAGGUCAGAGCGACUUGACGGUGUCGCUCCGGGAAGUCGCUCCCAACGCUCUGCUUGUCCAAUGAUCACCUUUACACCUCUUUCGAGCUUCAAAUACACCCAAAUGUCUCCGAGAACUCCAUGCGGUACUCCAAUACCUAAUAAAGACUUAUGUAUGCAAAAUGCAACCUAAACAUGGCUAAAUUCUAGUCUAUAUGAUCAAAAUGCACAUGGGUGAAUGGAUAAAACAAUGGAAAUAUGCAAGAUAUCAGCUCUCUCAUCUCAUCUCUGACGCUGACCAUGAGCUCUCUCAUCUCCACCGAUUUGGGUUUCAAGCAUUGCUGAGGUAACUAAGACAAGAAGAAGCUGUUUUUGUGUUUCAUGAGUUUUUGAGAAUGGGUUUUGGAUCUGAUGGCGAAAGAGAGUGGGUUUGUUCUGAUGUAAUCUUUUGUGUCUUGUGAUAGACUGAUAGGAUUUGUGUUGUCUGUGUACAAUUAAGCUGAUUCUCUAGAUUAAGCAUGUCUUUAUUCAUUUUCUCUGUUGAUUUUGAUUCUGUUAUCAGUGUCUUGCUACUGUUUUUGAAGUUUAUUGGGACUGAAUAUUAAUGAUAAUUGAAGUUCUGAAUCCAGAAUACUUGGUAUUCCUCGUAUAGAAUCUGAAGUUGAAGGUUCUAAGCUUUUGUUUUGUUAUAGCUGAAGAGGUGGCUACUUGCUACUGAGUUAAAUGGAAAAGAGAGGUAUAAAGGAGACAGACUUUGUUGUUGAAGAUGUUGUAUCCAAGCUUGUGAAGUUUACUGAACAAAGCAAAGCCAUGAAGGAAAUGUUUGGUCUGGCCUUCACGCAUCCUUCCUUGUUGACAUCAAGAAAAUUCUUUAUGAGUUUAUUUGUUUGUCAGUGUUAAAAAAAAAGAGUUUAUUUGUUUGUCUUUUGAUUUUGAAGAGGCCAGCCAACAUUGUGAAACUGAUAUAUUUUUCAGUCGAUAAUCUUUUGUACCAUAAACAUGUAAACAUAAUCUCAAACUGACACAUCUAAUGAAAUCUGUUGACCAAA
Molecule: long non-coding RNA, 1213 nt
Organism: Brassica napus (rape)
Lineage: Eukaryota; Viridiplantae; Streptophyta; Magnoliopsida; Brassicales; Brassicaceae
Exons: 2
Source: RefSeq, a predicted model, not a curated record